UACCUGCAGCUCGAGUGGUAACCGCUAUUAUUGGGCCUAAAGCGUCCGUAGCCGGUUUGGUAAAUAUCUGGGUAAAUCGUGAGGCUUAACUUCACGAAUUUCGGAUAGACUGCCAGACUUGGGAUCGGGGGAGGUCAGAGGUACUCCAGGGGUAGCGGUGAAAUGUUGUAAUCCUUGGAGGACCACCGGUAGCGAAGGCGCCUGACUAGAACGAGUCCGACGGUGAGGGACGAAGCCCUGGGGCGCAAACCGGAUUAGAUACCCGGGUAGUCCAGGGUGUAAACAAUGUGGGCUUUGUAUUGGAGGUCCCACGUGGGCGUCCAGUGCAGAAGAGAAGUUGUUAAGCCCACCGCCUGGGAAGUACGGUCGCAAGGCUGAAACUUAAAGGAAUUGGCGGGGAGCACAGCAACGGGAGGAGCGUGCGGUUU
This 428-nucleotide ribosomal RNA is filed under the name uncultured archaeon. RNAcentral describes it as "bacterial SSU rRNA". It matches the Rfam family "Archaeal small subunit ribosomal RNA", at positions 474 to 903 of the family's 1478-position model. The record is from RNAcentral.